GAUGAACGCUGGCGGCGUGCCUAAUACAUGCAAGUCGAGCGAACGGACGAGAAUCUUGCUUCUCUGAUGUUAGCGGCGGACGGGUGAGUAACACGUGGAUAACCUACCUAUAAGACUGGGAUAACUUCGGGAAACCGUAGCUAAUACCGGAUAAUAUUUUGAACCGCAUGGUUCAAAAGUGAAAGACGGUCUUGCUGUCACUUAUAGAUGGAUCCGCGCUGCAUUAGCUAGUUGGUAAGGUAACGGCUUACCAAGGCAACGAUGCAUAGCCGACCUGAGAGCGUGAUCGGCCACACUGGAACUGAGACACGGUCCAGACUCCUACGGGAGGAAGCAGUAGGGAAUCUUGCGCAAUGGGCGAAAGCCUGACGGAGCAACGCCGCGUGAGUGAUGAAGGUCUUCGGAUCGUAAAACUCUGUUAUUAGGGAAGAACAUAUGUGUAAGUAACUGUGCACAUCUUGACGGUACCUAAUCAGAAAGCCACGGCUAACUACGUG
RNAcentral lists this ribosomal RNA (497 nucleotides) under uncultured bacterium. RNAcentral describes it as "partial 16S ribosomal RNA". It matches the Rfam family "Bacterial small subunit ribosomal RNA", at positions 28 to 507 of the family's 1533-position model. The record is from RNAcentral.